UACGGGGGGGGCAAGCGUUGUUCGGAAUUACUGGGCGUAAAGGGCUCGUAGGCGGCCAACUAAGUCAGACGUGAAAUCCCUCGGCUUAACCGGGGAACUGCGUCUGAUACUGGAUGGCUUGAGGUUGGGAGAGGGAUGCGGAAUUCCAGGUGUAGCGGUGAAAUGCGUAGAUAUCGUGAGGAAGACCAGUGGCGAAGGCGGAUCUCUGGACAGCUCCUGACGCUGAGGCGCGAAGGCUAGGGGAGCAAACGGG
Molecule: ribosomal RNA, 253 nt
Filed under: uncultured bacterium
Lineage: Bacteria
Description: partial 16S ribosomal RNA
Rfam family: Bacterial small subunit ribosomal RNA
Source: RNAcentral